RNAcentral lists this ribosomal RNA (416 nucleotides) under Salmonella enterica subsp. enterica serovar Enteritidis. RNAcentral describes it as "partial 23S ribosomal RNA". The stretch from base 79 to 416 matches the Rfam family "Bacterial large subunit ribosomal RNA", at positions 1 to 861 of the family's 2925-position model. The record is from RNAcentral. Lineage: Bacteria; Pseudomonadati; Pseudomonadota; Gammaproteobacteria; Enterobacterales; Enterobacteriaceae.
CCACCACCAAAGCAUUUGCUGUACCGCGUUGACGGAGCGAAGCGACGUCAAACCGAUAAAACAGCAGUGUAAAGUGAGCCGCAGGGCGCUUUGCGCGACAGCGCAAAGGCAGGCGGUUUCGCGUAGCGAAAGCGAAUGCUUUGGGGUGGGGUGACUGCGUACCUUUUGUAUAAUGGGUCAGCGACUUAUAUUCUGUAGCAAGGUUAACCGAAUAGGGGAGCCGGAGGGAAACCGAGUCUUAAUUGGGCGUUAAGUUGCAGGGUAUAGACCCGAAACCCGGUGAUCUAGCCAUGGGCAGGUUGAAGGUUGGGUAACACUAACUGGAGGACCGAACCGACUAAUGUUGAAAAAUUAGCGGAUGACCUGUGGCUGGGGGUGAAAGGCCAAUCAAACCGGGAGAUAGCUGGUUCUCCCCG